RNAcentral lists this ribosomal RNA (377 nucleotides) under uncultured Chloroflexota bacterium. RNAcentral's name for it is "bacterial SSU rRNA". It matches the Rfam family "Bacterial small subunit ribosomal RNA", at positions 521 to 896 of the family's 1533-position model. The record is from RNAcentral. Lineage: Bacteria; Bacillati; Chloroflexota.
UAAUACGUAGGUCACAAACGUUGUCCGGAUUUAUUGGGCGUAAAGGGUCCGUAGGCGGUUCGGUAAGUCUCCUGUGAAAUCUUCAGGCUCAACUUGAAGAGGUCGGGGGAUACUGCCGGACUUGAGACUGUUAGAGGCAAGUGGGAUUCCCGGUGUAGUGGUGAAAUGCGUAGAUAUCGGGAGGAACACCAGUGGCGAAAGCGGCUUGCUGGGACAGUUCUGACGCUGAGGGACGAAAGCGUGGGUAGCAAACCGGAUUAGAUACCCGGGUAGUCCACGCCGUAAACGAUGAAUGCUAGGUUUUCGGGGUAUCGACCCCCUGGGAGCCGUAGCUAACGCGAUAAGCAUUCCGCCUGGGGACUACGGUCGCAAGACUA